AAAAGAUAAAGAUGAAUAGAUAAUAGUUAAAGUAGAAUAAGUUACCUCGUAAAGGAUAUUACCUUAGGUAAGUUGCUAAUGGUCAAAGGCUUGACUCUUGGCAUAUAGAAAAAGCAUCCUAUGGACAUAGGAUGCGGUCAAGAACAAAGAGUCAAAGUCAAGAGGAUAAAGUGUGUCCUAGGGAAUAUCCAAAGAACUAGGUAAGAGUAAUUAGUAUAUGGCAUAGGAUACCCUCGUGGUAUGUAAGAUGCCAUAGAAUCCUAGGAUCCUUGGAUACCCUCGUGGUAUGAGCCAAAGGAUUCAAGGAGCAUAUGUGUAAAAGUCAAAUGGUGGAAGAAGUCCUUUUAGGGUAGCAACCACCACCUAUAAGUAACGAGAGUUGGAAGAGAGAACCAUCUCAUUCCACACUUCUCUUAUGUGCAACCUUGCUGAUUUCUACUUACUUGUGUUAUGCUUAUAGUGUUCUUUUCUCAAUAGGUUAUGGGCCCACACACUCUUUGUUGUGCUAUUCAAGUAAGUUGAAGUCAUUUUCUCUUUGUUGCUUUUGUGUCGAUUAGAUCUUAUGGUAUUUGUUGAUGUUAGGUUUGUUGGUAUAAGGAGGCUAUUGGUAUUAAGCUUGUACAUCUCUAACAUUGCUUUGUGGAUUCUUAUCUCCUUGCUUUGUGAGGUUAAGACUUUGUAGAAAGACCUUGAUAGUGUCUUUUGAGUUGGUGAAGUUUCUUCAUUAUUCUUGAGUGUUUUGAUGAGAAAGUGAUUAAGACGAGUGAUUGUGAGUUCCAUGAGGGUGCAAUUACUUAUAGAAAGCUUCAAAAGUUGAGUUGAAAGUGUUUUCAGUGAGAUACCACUCUUUUGUUCAUAACAGGGCAUUCUGAGAUUCUGCUAGUGCAAACUUUGUUUGGUGAUUUUAAACUUUUAGAGACUCUUUUUUUCAAUAUUUUUUGAUACACUCCUCCUUAGAUAUGGCUUCUAGUGAAGGUGAAGGUUUGAGAGUGAUUGAGAAGUUUAGAGGCAACAAUUUCUACCAUUGGAAGGUCAAAAUGGAGCUUUUGUUGGCAUUUUUGGACCUUUGGGAUAUUGUAGAUGAGAAUGAAGACCCUCCAAGCAUAGAUGCAAGCCCUAAGGACCACAAGGACUUCAAAAGACGUGAAAAGAAGGCUUUUGGCAUGAUUGCCACCAAUUUGGAUGAAGCCAACUUUUCUCACAUUAUCCAUUGCAAAGGACCAACGGAAGCAUAGAAGACACUUUGCAACAUAUAUGAGAGCAAGAACUUGUCCAACAUCCUCUUCACAAGAAGGAAAUUCUUCACUUGUAAGAUGGAAGAAGGUGAAGACCUCAUGGCACAUGUUAAUAAGGUAAAAGCCCUUGCAAAUCAACUAGCAAUUAUUGACAAGCCUUUAGAGGAUGGUGACAUUGUCAUGACUCUACUCAUGAGUCUUCUCGAGUCCUACAACUACCUCAUUGUGGCAUUGGAGUCUUUGAGGUUGAAGGAACUUACAAUGGACUAUGUGACAUCAAGACUUGCACAUGAAGUAACUAAAAGGAAAGAGAAGGAGCAUCAAAGUGAAGAUUCAACUCUCUUCUCAAGACAAGGCAAAGGUACCUAUUCCAACCAACGUGACAAUGUGAGAAGCAAUGCAAGAACUUGCUUCAUUUGUAGAAAACCGGGUCAUUUUGCACGAAAUUGCUACAAGGCCAAGAAAAGAGAUAGAGAAAAUGCUAACAAUGCAUGUGAUGAAGUUGAUGGAGAUGAUUAUGCAUUCAUAGCAAGUGAAGGCACGUCUAUGGCUGCCAUGUCCAAAUGGAUCAUUGAUUCGGGUGCUACCAAGCAUAUGACUCCAUACAAGUGUUCAUUUGACACUUAUGAGACUAUUCCAACAACAAAAGUAUGGUUAGGAGAUAAUGGCAUGGUGCAAGCCAUUGGAAUUGGCUCCAUUGUGGUGGAGAUUGUUGUAAAGAAUCAAAUGAAGAAGAUCAGAUUGAAAGAAGUGUUACAUGUGCCAAAGAUGAAGAAGAACCUUCUUUCGGUGAGUAAAGUUGUUUUUCAUGGUUGCAAGGUGCAAUUUGAUAUGAAUGGAUGCUUUGUGAAGACAAUGGAUGGAGAUAAUCUUUUGAAAGGCUUUAGAGAUGGCAAUCUCUACUUCAUCAAUUGUAAGAAGAUGAAUGGAGUUGAAGUGGCAGUAUUUGCUGAAUUUCCACAAGAUCAAGAUAAGUUUGGCAUUUGGCAUUGACGCCUUGGUCAUUUGAAUGCCAAAAGUAUGAAGGAGCUCCAAUCCAUGGUUAGUGGCUUAGAUCUUGGUCAAUCAUGCACAAAUCUUACUUGUGAAGGUUGUAUUCAAGGCAAACAACAAAGAGCUUCAUUUCCAAGUGGAGUUACAACAGGUGCAACCAAAUUGUUGGAGAUUAUGCAUUCUGAUGUUUGUGGAUCUAUGAGGACACCAUCAAUGGUAGGAUCAAGAUACUUUGUUACAUUUAUUGAUGACUUUUCAAGGAAGGUGUGGAUUUUCAUCCUUAAAUCCAAAAAUGAAUGCUUUUCAAAGUUUAAGGAAUUUAAGGCACUUAUGGAGAAGCAAUGUCAGUGCAAGAUCAAGAUGUUGCAUACAGACAAUGGAGGUGAGUAUUUGUCAAAGCAUUUUGAUGAGUAUUUGAAGAUUCAUGGUAUUGCAAGACAAACUUCCACUCCCUAUACUCCACAACAAAAUGAAAUUGCUGAAAGAGCAAAUCGAACUAUUGUGGAGAUAGCAAGGAGUAUGAUUCAUGCUCAAAACCUUGGGCAUGAAUUUUGGGCGGAAGCUAUGGUCAAUGCAGUGUAUACAAGGAAUAGGUGUCCUACAAAUGCACUUACAUCAAUGACUCCACAAGAAGCUUGGAGUAGGAGGAAACCUUGUAUUUCACACAUGAGGACUUUUGGAUGCAUUGCUUAUGCAAAGGUACCAGAUUGUAUGCGGUCCAAAUUUGAUGCAAAAGGUACAAAAUGUGUGUUUCUUGGAUAUUAUGAAGGUACCAAGGCAUAAAGGCUAAUGUGUUUGGAUACCAAGAAGAUCAUAAAAAGUCGUGAUGUUGAAUUUAUGGAGCAUAAAAGUGCUUGUGAGCACUUGGAGAUGUGUCCAAGUGGGAGUAAUGGUGUGUUUGUGGACACAUCUUCAAUUUCAGCAACGAAAGAAGAAGAAGAAGAUGAAGACAAUGAAGAUAGUGGAGAUUUGAAUCAACAUGAAGAACCAAAGAAGAUGAAGAAGAAGAAGAAGAAAGUGUAUACAAUUGGGAUGACAAACAAUGAAGAAGUUGAAGGUGAUGAUGAUGAUGAGGAAUACCAACCUUUGAGUGAGAAGAGACAAGGUUCAAAAGAAAAGAAGGUUGGAGAGCAUCAAAGUGAAUCUUUUUCAAAUGAUAGGAGAUAUCCUACAAGAGAAAAAAAACAACGUGGUGAAUGGUGGAAGGACAUCUUUCCUAAAGUACAUCUUUCCUAAAAUAAGUGAAGAACAUGCCAAUGUUGCACUCCUUGCUGAUCCAUUGAAUAUAUGUGAUGCUAUGAAGUCUACGAAUGCGUUGAAGUGGGAGGAGGCUAUGGAAGAAGAGUACAAAUCUCUCAUGAGCAAUGGAACAUGGGAAUUGACUCAACUUCCACCAAAUCGAUCUUCAAUUGGUUAUAAGUAGGUGUUUAGAACCAAGAGGGAUGCAAUGGGUGAUAUUGUGAGAUAUAAGGCAAGGCUAGUUGCCAAAGGAUACUCACAAGUUGUUGUGUUGAUUUCAAUGAGACAUUUGCUCCCGUGGCUACGUUCACCACCAUUAGAACCAUUGUGGCAAUUGGGGCAGCAAUAGACUUGGAGAUGCAUCAAAUGGAUGUGAAGACGGCUUUCUUGAAUGGAGAAUUGGAAGAAGACAUCUACAUGGAUCAAUCUCAAGGAUUUGUAGAAGAAUGCAAGCAACAUCUUGUUUGUAAGUUGAAGAAAUCCUUAUAUGGACUCAAGCAAUCUCUAAGGGCAUGGUAUCAAAGAAUUGACACAUUCUUUGUUAAUGAGGGAUUCCAAAGAAGUGAGGCUGACCAUUCUAUGUAUGUGAUACAAUCAAAAGAGUUCUUGAUGAUUGUUAUCCUUUAUGUAGAUGAUUUAAUCAUCUUAACCAAUACUUUAAAGAUGAUGGAUUGGUUGAAGGCAAAGUUAGAAAAGGAAUAUGAGAUGAGUGAUUUGGGAGAGCUUCACUAUUGCUUAGGAGUGGAAUUUACAAGAGAUCGUGCUAACAAGACCAUCACAAUGAGCCAAAGGAAGUACAUUGAAGGAGUGUUGAAACGAUUCAACAUGGAGGAUUGCAAGCCCAUUGGAACACCUUUGGAGUCCAAUUUGAAGUUGAUGAAGCUCACGGAUGAAGAGUUUGCACAAGUUGAAGGCCAAGUGCAAGGUGUUCCAUACAAGGCAGCAGUUGGGUCACUCAUGUAUGUAAUGGUUGGUACAAGGGUGGAUCUUACUUAUGCGGUUAGUGUCGUAAGUCAACACAUAUCAAAAGUAGGACCAAUUCAUUGGGCAACCAUCAAGAGGAUCAUGAGGUACUUGAAAGGCACUUUGGACUUCAAAUUGUGCCUUGGAGGUGAAAGUAUUGCUUUGCAUGGUUAUUGUGAUGCUGAUUGGGCUGGAAAUGCAAAUGAUAGGCGGUCAACAACGGGCUAUGUAUUCUUUGUUGGAGUGGGAGCAAUUUCAUGGAAUUGCAAGAGGCAACCCACAAUUGCAAGGUCCACAAUGGAGGCGGAGUAUAUGGCAGCAAGCCCAGGUGCAAUGGAAGCAACAUGGUUAAGGCAAGUUUUGGAGGACAUUGGACUUGUACAAUUGGAAGCAACUCCAUUGAAUUGUGAUAAUCAAGGAUGCCUUGCUUUUACAAAGAAUCCAAAGCAUCAUUCAAGAAUCAAGCACAUUGACAUUCAACAUCACUUUAUAAGAGAGAAGAUUGAAAUGGGAGUGAUUGACUUGAAGUAUUGUGCAACAGAAGAUAUGCUUACUGAUUUGUUAACAAAGACAUUGGUCAAAGAUAGACAUCAUAUAUUGACAAAGGCAUUAGAUUUGAAGGGCUUUGAUAAUUAGCAAAGUGGGAGUGUUGAGGUAAAAGAUAAAGAUGAAUAGAUAAUAUUUAAAGUAGAAUAAGUUACCUCGUAAAGGAUAUUACCUUAGGUAAGUUGCUAAUGGUCAAAGGCUUGACUCUUGGCAUAUAGAAAAAGCAUCCUAUGGACAUAGGAUGCGGUCAAGGACAAAGAGUCAAAGUCAAGAGGAUAAAGUGUGUCCUAGGGAAUAUCCAAAGAACUAGGUAAGAGUAAUUAGUAUAUGGCAUAGGAUACCCUCGUGGUAUGUAAGAUGCCAUAG
This 5342-nucleotide long non-coding RNA is filed under the name Physcomitrium patens. Its description in RNAcentral is "long non-coding RNA (PPAT_LNC009374)". The record is from RNAcentral. Lineage: Eukaryota; Viridiplantae; Streptophyta; Bryopsida; Funariales; Funariaceae.